This 315-nucleotide unclassified non-coding RNA is filed under the name uncultured Mycena. RNAcentral describes it as "sequence contains ITS2". The stretch from base 1 to 52 matches the Rfam family "5.8S ribosomal RNA", at positions 103 to 154 of the family's 154-position model. Lineage: Eukaryota; Fungi; Basidiomycota; Agaricomycetes; Agaricales; Tricholomataceae. The record is from RNAcentral.
AACGCACCUUGCGCCCUUUGGUAUUCCGAAGGGCAUGCCUGUUUGAGUGUCAUUAAAUUAUCAACCUUGCUUUGCUUUUACUAGCAUUGCUCGGCUUGGAUGUGGGGUUUUUUUUGCUGGCUUCCUUCAGUGGAUGGUCUGCUCCCCUUAAAUGCAUUAGUGGGAUCUCUUGUGGACCGUCACUUGGUGUGAUAAUUAUCUAUGCCAUGCGACUUUGAAGCAAACUUUAUGGGAACCUGCUUAUAACCGUCCCUCACAAGGACAACUUAUUGACAUUUUGACCUCAAAUCAGGUAGGACUACCCGCUGAACUUAA